RNAcentral lists this ribosomal RNA (489 nucleotides) under uncultured Fibrobacter sp. RNAcentral describes it as "bacterial SSU rRNA". It matches the Rfam family "Bacterial small subunit ribosomal RNA", at positions 163 to 653 of the family's 1533-position model. The record is from RNAcentral. Lineage: Bacteria; Pseudomonadati; Fibrobacterota; Fibrobacteria; Fibrobacterales; Fibrobacteraceae.
CUAAUGCCGGAUAUUGUGUCCUACUGCAUAGUAGGUUAACGAAGGAUUUAUCGUUGUGGGAUGAGCUCGCGUCCGAUUAGCUAGUUGGCGGGGUAAUAGCCCACCAAGGCGACGAUCGGUAGCCGGCCUGAGAGGGUGAUCGGCCACAUUGGGACUGAGAUACGGCCCAGACUCCUACGGGAGGCAGCAGUAGGGAAUAUUGCGCAAUGGGGGGAACCCUGACGCAGCAACGCCACGUGUGGGAAGAAGCAUUUCGGUGUGUAAACCACUGUCGGAAAGGAAUAACGGAAGACUUCGGUCUUUAUGAAUGUACUUUUAGAGGAAGCACCGGCAAACUUCGUGCCAACAGCCGCGGUAAUACGAGGGGUGCAAGCGUUGUUCGGAAUCACUGGGCGUAAAGGGAGCGUANGCGGAAGUGCAAGCAAUCUGUAUAAUCCUGGGGCCCAACCCCAGUUUCUGCAGAUUGGACUGUAUUUCUUGAAUAGUUCA